UGUCAGCUCUGUGAGAAUCCUUAAUCAUUUAGGUACUUAAUUGGCUCUGAGGAAUCCAACAAGGAAUCCAACUUUUCUCCUGCUAAAAGCAAUCAGAGCCCAGGGGUUGGAUUGCAUCUCCCCUUUCUGAUGGAUUGAAUCCAUCCGCCCUUUCCCAAGGUUUUUAUUUGCUGUUGUCUGCUUUCUUGGCUCAGGUGUCCGGCAGCAGGAGGUACCUACAUGGUUCUGAAGUUCUCCUUUCCCAGGAUCUUGUACUCCUGGCAGACUUUCUCCCGGACAUAAGCUUUCCCUGAAAGUGCAGGAGGAGGAGGAAUUGUGAGUAGGGAACAAGGAACGCUCUGCCACCACAGGGCACGCUGCUUAAUUCACUUGGGAUUUGUUCAUUUUUUUUCACUCCAUUGCUUCUUUUUCCAAGGAGGAUUUGGUGGUCCCUGGGGAGAUGUUGGCACAGCCGGUCUGGGAGAAGCAUCCCUGCUAUCCAGGCUGCUGCUCCAGCCCCGCAGCCAGGGAACGGAGCAGGGAGAAAACCCUUCCUGGAGCUGGGAGAGCUACAGGUGGGGAUUCCCUGUGGAGCUGAGGAGGCAGCCAAGGGUGGCAGAGCAUCAUUCCCACCCAGGGGUGAGUUUUACAGGAAUGGUGCUUGCCAGGGGGUCAGGAAAUCCCAUUUUCCUCUAGAAAGAGAUGGACCCCAUCCCUGUGGCUCUGUCCUCUCCCCCUCCCACCCCCUCCAGCA
Onychostruthus taczanowskii (white-rumped snowfinch) is the source of this 733-nucleotide long non-coding RNA. RefSeq lists it as uncharacterized. The record is from RefSeq and is a predicted model, not a curated record. The transcript is spliced from 3 exons. Lineage: Eukaryota; Metazoa; Chordata; Aves; Passeriformes; Passeridae.